AAUCCAUAGGUUAAUGAGGCGAACCGGGGGAACUGAAACAUCUAAGUACCCCGAGGAAAAGAAAUCAACCGAGAUUCCCCCAGUAGCGGCGAGCGAACGGGGAGGAGCCCAGAGCCUGAAUCAGCAUGUGUGUUAGUGGAAGCGUCUGGAAAGGCGCGCGAUACAGGGUGACAGCCCCGUACACAAAAGCGCAUGUGCUGUGAGCUCGAUGAGUAGGGCGGGACACGUGGUAUCCUGUCUGAAUAUGGGGGGACCAUCCUCCAAGGCUAAAUACUCCUGACUGACCGAUAGUGAACCAGUACCGUGAGGGAAAGGCGAAAAGAACCCCGGCGAGGGGAGUGAAAAAGAACCUGAAACCGUGUACGUACAAGCAGUGGGAGCACAGGUUUACCUGUGUGACUGCGUACCUUUUGUAUAAUGGGUCAGCGACUUAUAUUCUGUAGCAAGGUUAACCGAAUAGGGGAGCCGGAGGGAAACCGAGUCUUAAUUGGGCGUUAAGUUGCAGGGUAUAGACCCGAAACCCGGUGAUCUAGCCAUGGGCAGGUUGAAGGUUGGGUAACACUAACUGGAGGACCGAACCGACUAAUGUUGAAAAAUUAGCGGAUGACCUGUGGCUGGGGGUGAAAGGCCAAUCAAACCGGGAGAUAGCUGGUUCUCCCCGAAAGCUAUUUAGGUAGCGCCUCGUGAAUUCAUCUCCGGGGGUAGAGCACUGUUUCGGCUAGGGGGCCAUCCCGGCUUACCAACCCGAUGCAAACUGCGAAUACCGGAGAAUGUUAUCACGGGAGACACACGGCGGGUGCUAACGUCCGUCGUGAAGAGGGAAACAACCCAGACCGCCAGCUAAGGUCCCAAAGUCAUGGUUAAGUGGGAAACGAUGUGGGAAGGCCCAGACAGCCAGGAUGUUGGCUUAGAAGCAGCCAUCAUUUAAAGAAAGCGUAAUAGCUCACUGGUCGAGUCGGCCUGCGCGGAAGAUGUAACGGGGCUAAACCAUGCACCGAAGCUGCGGCAGCGACGCUUAUGCGUUGUUGGGUAGGGGAGCGUUCUGUAAGCCUGCGAAGGUGGCCUGUGAGGGUUGCUGGAGGUAUCAGAAGUGCGAAUGCUGACAUAAGUAACGAUAAAGCGGGUGAAAAGCCCGCUCGCCGGAAGACCAAGGGUUCCUGUCCAACGUUAAUCGGGGCAGGGUGAGUCGACCCCUAAGGCGAGGCCGAAAGGCGUAGUCGAUGGGAAACGGGUUAAUAUUCCCGUACUUGGUGUUACUGCGAAGGGGGGACGGAGAAGGCUAUGUUGGCCGGGCGACGGUUGUCCCGGUUUAAGCGUGUAGGUGUGUGUUCCAGGUAAAUCCGGUU
This 1346-nucleotide ribosomal RNA is filed under the name Salmonella enterica subsp. enterica serovar Kentucky. Its description in RNAcentral is "partial 23S ribosomal RNA". It matches the Rfam family "Bacterial large subunit ribosomal RNA", at positions 161 to 1547 of the family's 2925-position model. Lineage: Bacteria; Pseudomonadati; Pseudomonadota; Gammaproteobacteria; Enterobacterales; Enterobacteriaceae. The record is from RNAcentral.